Molecule: ribosomal RNA, 425 nt
Filed under: uncultured bacterium
Lineage: Bacteria
Description: partial 16S ribosomal RNA
Rfam family: Bacterial small subunit ribosomal RNA
Source: RNAcentral
GUGGGGAAUCUUGCGCAAUGGGCGAAAGCCUGACGCAGCCAUGCCGCGUGAAUGAUGAAGGUCUUAGGAUUGUAAAAUUCUUUCACCGGGGACGAUAAUGACGGUACCCGGAGAAGAAGCCCCGGCUAACUUCGUGCCAGCAGCCGCGGUAAUACGAAGGGGGCUAGCGUUGCUCGGAAUUACUGGGCGUAAAGGGCGCGUAGGCGGAUCGUUAAGUCAGGGGUGAAAUACCAGAGCUCAACUCUGGAACUGCCCUUGAUACUGGCGAUCUUGAGUGUGAGAGAGGUAUGUGGAACUCCGAGUGUAGAGGUGAAAUUCGUGGAUAUUCGGAAGAACACCAGUGGCGAAGGCGACAUACUGGCUCAUUACUGACGCUGAGGCGCGAAAGCGUGGGGAGCAAACAGGAUUAGAAACCCGAGUAGUCC